This 470-nucleotide ribosomal RNA is filed under the name uncultured Peptoniphilus sp. Its description in RNAcentral is "partial 16S ribosomal RNA". Lineage: Bacteria; Bacillati; Bacillota; Tissierellia; Tissierellales; Peptoniphilaceae. The record is from RNAcentral.
CACGUAGUUAGCCGGGGCUUUUUCUUAUGGUACCGUCAUUAUCUUCCCAUAUAAAAGAACUUUACGACUCGAAAGCCUUCAUCGUUCACGCGGCGUCGCUGCAUCAGAGUUCCCUCCAUUGUGCAAUAUUCCCCACUGCCUGCCUCCCGUAGGAGUUUGGACCGUUUCUCAGUUCCAAUGUGGCCGUUCACCCUCUCAGGCCCGGCUACCCAUCGUCGCCUUGGUGGGCCGUUACCUCACCAACUAGCCUAAUGGGACGCGAGUCCAUCUUAGACCACCGGAGUUUUGAUCAAUUAGUGCAUGGGCACCUAUGAUUUCAUUUGGUAUUAAGUCCCCGGUUUCCCGAGGCUACUCCCAAUGUCUAAGGCAGGUUACUCACGUGUUACUCACCCGUCCGCCGUCUAACUCCAUCUUACUCUUACCACCCCGAAGGGACUCGUGUACAAGAUUUCAUCGCUCGACUUGCAUGU